CCGGAUGAAUAUGAACCUAUGGUUGUCCAAGUUCACAUUGAACCUGAACAACUGUAUGUCCAGAUUCAAUGUUAACUCCAUUUCCAAUCUAAUGCAUAAGCAAAACGGUGGUAUAAAAUCAACAUUACGCCUUGUAUAAUGCAUUGCCUUGAUAAUACAUGCACUGUCACACGUCACAUACAACUCUACCCUUAAAUGAAGGUCCAAUUUAGAGAAGUAACACCAUAUUGAUCCAAGAUGAUGCUCGGGUGCUUAAAGCGAAGUAUUAUCCUCAAUCAGAUUUUAUGCAAGCAAAUUUAAAGCAUGGUGCUUCGUACACUUGGACAAGCAUUUGGUCAGCUCAAAAAGUGUUAGAAGACGGGGUGUGUUGGCGAGUUCGAUGGGGUGAUAAAGUUUCAAUUUGUAAUCAUGCUUGGUUACCGAGUUUGAUUAAUUAUAAAUUAAGCAACGCAGUUCGAAACCUUGAUGUUUCUAUAUUUGCCGAUCUAAUUAAGAGAACUUUUAGUGAGUGGAAAAGAGAGAUUAUUACCAAUACCUUUGCAGAUGUUGAUGUGGCCAGGAUACUUCUAAUCCCGCUGGCAGCGAAUCCUCAGCAGGACGUGAUGGUGUAGGGAGGUGAGUCCUCAGGAGAGUUCUCCGUUAGGAGUGCUUACAAAUUUUUACAGACAAGUAUUCCUAUUCCUAUCCUAGAUGAAUUACAAAAUGCAUCUAGAGAAUUUUACAAGCAACUUUGGGGCUUAAACCUACCAUCUAAAAUCAAGAUUACAAUAUGGCGUAUUUCAAAAAAUUCUUCCCUAUGCUAUCAAAUAUGCAUAACAAAAGACUAGUUGCCGAUAUGAUGUGUCCAAGAUGUGGGGAGGGUGCUGAAACUAUGAAUCAUGUUUUUAGGAGUUGUCCUGUUACAAAGGUGAUAUGGGUGUUAGUUGGUUUUCCUGGGAUCUUAUUAAAUUCAAUACAGGACAUGUUCGAGUAGUUUACUUGGGUUUUCAACAACUGCUCAGUACUUCAACGCGUAUCAUUCUAUUGUGGUCUGUGGGUCUUGUGGACUGCAAGAAACAAAUUUAUGCAUGAACAUUGUGCUAAAUUGGCGGUUGACACAUCAAGGUUCAUUCAAUGAUACAUUAAAGAAAUAGAAGGCGUCAAGGAAAAGGAGGUUACCAGGAAGGUGAUCUAUGCAAAAUGGAAGCCCCCUUCAGGAAUAUGCAUCAAACUUAAUUUUGACGCAGCCUUUGAUAAGGAUUUUUUUCAAAUCUGGGACGGGGAUUGUAGCCAAAAAUGCGCAAGGGCAGGUGAUUGCAUCACGUUUAAUACUCCACUCAAACGUGGGCUCAGCAUUUGUAGCAGAAGCCCUCGCAUGUUCAUGGGCAGUUAAAACGGGGUUAGAGUUGGGGGUUACAGAAGCAAUUAUCGAAGGCGAUUCUCUAACGAUUAUCAAGAACUGCAAUAAUAUGUCCCCAGAUAAGCCUGAAAUAAGAGCUCACAUCCAGAAUAUACAGUAUCACAGUAGCAGAUUUCUCUCCAUACAGUUUAAACAUGCAAAUCGUGAAGCUAAUCAACUGGCACACAGAUUAACAGUUGAAAGUUUGAGAAAUGGAGAGGAGUUUUACCUGGAAGGAGCGGUCCCGGGCUUCGCAAGGAGAACGAUGGAGGAAGAGUGGAUUCGUGAACCAGAUUGAAGGAAUAAUGGGGAAGUGUCUUGAUCCCUAAGGAGCAGAAAUGAGAAAAAUCAUUUCUGUGAAAAUAGGAUUCCCGAGGAAUGGGGUGACUUUUGUUUAUUUUUUAAAAUCUAUUUUAUUUUCUUUUAAUGUUUAAAUUAUUUUGCUCUGAGCCGGUGAGUGCUAAGGCUCCUAAAGGAGAAAGAAAUACACCAAACAAAUUUUAUAAUUUAAAUUCAAC
RNAcentral lists this long non-coding RNA (1896 nucleotides) under Gossypium barbadense (sea-island cotton). RNAcentral describes it as "long non-coding RNA (GBAR_LNC017967)". Lineage: Eukaryota; Viridiplantae; Streptophyta; Magnoliopsida; Malvales; Malvaceae. The record is from RNAcentral.